This 496-nucleotide small RNA is filed under the name Pongo abelii (Sumatran orangutan). RNAcentral's name for it is "retained intron". The record is from RNAcentral. Lineage: Eukaryota; Metazoa; Chordata; Mammalia; Primates; Hominidae.
GUGGAGGGAAACCAUCAUCAGAGAGGAGAGACCAGCGUGUACUCUGGGAGGCCGCAGGGAACGUGCAUGUGUGGGGGCACCAGUGCUGACCACCCGACUCCCGUCUUCCCCUUGCAGUGGAACAGGUGGCCAACGUGGUUCUCUACUCGAGUGAUUAUUACGUCAAGCCCGUGGCUAUGGAGGAAGCGCAAGAAAAAGUGCCGCCAAACAGCACUUUGACCAAGACACUGACGCUACUGCCCUUGCUGGCUAACAAUCGAGAAAGGAGAGGCAUUGCCCUGGAUGGGAAAAUCAAGCAUGAGGACACAAACCUUGCCUCCAGCACCAUCAUUAAGGAGGGCAUAGACCGGACCGUCCUGGGGAUCCUGGUGUCUUACCAGAUCAAGGUGAAGCUUACGGUGUCAGGCUUUCUGGGAGAGCUCACCUCCAGUGAAGUCGCCACUGAGGUCCCAUUCCGCCUCAUGCACCCUCAGCCUGAGGACCCAGCUAAGGAAAG